UAGCCUGUAAGUCCAAUUGUUUGUGAGUAUCCCGGCUGUCACCCGGGAGACCGGGGUUCGAUUCCCCGCCGGGGAG
Non-coding RNA from Paramuricea clavata, 76 nucleotides. Lineage: Eukaryota; Metazoa; Cnidaria; Anthozoa; Malacalcyonacea; Plexauridae. The record is from the annotation of a GenBank genome assembly.